UGGCCUUAGUACGGCGAGUGAAGCGGCAAAAGCUCAAAUUUGAAAUCUAGUACCUUCGGUGCUCGAGUUGUAAUUUGUAGAGGGAUACUUUGGGGCCGUUCCUUGUCUAUGUUCCUUGGAACAGGACGUCAUAGAGGGUGAGAAUCCCGUGUGGCGAGGAGUGCGGUUCUAUGUAAAGUGCCUUCGAAGAGUCGAGUUGUUUGGGAAUGCAGCUCUAAGUGGGUGGUAAAUUCCAUCUAAAGCUAAAUAUUGGCGAGAGACCGAUAGCGAACAAGUACAGUGAUGGAAAGAUGAAAAGAACUUUGAAAAGAGAGUGAAAAAGUACGUGAAAUUGUUGAAAGGGAAGGGCAUUUGAUCAGACAUGGUGUUUUGCGCCCUCUGCUCCUUGUGGGUGGGGGACUCUCGCAGCUCACUGGGCCAACAUCAGUUUUGGUGGUCGGACAAAUCCGUAGGAAUGUAGCUUACCUCGGUAAGUGUUAUAGCCUGCGGGAAUACGGCCAGCCGGGACUGAGGACUGCGACUUUUGUCAAGGAUGUUGGCAUAAUGGUUAUAUGCCGCCCGUCUUGAAACACGGACC
This 577-nucleotide ribosomal RNA is filed under the name Monosporozyma servazzii. RNAcentral describes it as "Kazachstania servazzii partial large subunit ribosomal RNA". It matches the Rfam family "Eukaryotic large subunit ribosomal RNA", at positions 75 to 667 of the family's 3401-position model. The record is from RNAcentral. Lineage: Eukaryota; Fungi; Ascomycota; Saccharomycetes; Saccharomycetales; Saccharomycetaceae.